GCCUAGCUUAGUGUUGGGAGCCUACUGUAUUGUAGCUCCCCAAAUCCAACGGCGGAUCUGUGGUAUCCUCUGAGCGUAGUAAUUUUUAUCUCGCUUUUGUCAGGUGCCGCAGCUCUCAGCCGCUAAACCCCCAAUUUUUUUAAUGGUUGACCUCGGAUCAG
This 161-nucleotide unclassified non-coding RNA is filed under the name Discostroma tostum. RNAcentral's name for it is "ITS2". The record is from RNAcentral. Lineage: Eukaryota; Fungi; Ascomycota; Sordariomycetes; Amphisphaeriales; Amphisphaeriaceae.